AGCUGGGCAGUCCACCAGUCCUAUUUAAACCGAGCAGCCUCCAUGCUUGCCUAGAGCCUGCAGAGACGCCCCCCACCUUGCUUCUUCCAGCCCCACUGUGCUGGGAACUCUCAAGCUCUUGGUAUUGACACAACCUACUCAACAUGGCAGAAGAGGAGGAAGUAACCUACGAGGAAGAGGAGUAUGUGGAGGAAGAGGAAGAAGCAGCCCAGGAGGCCGAAGAGCCUGAGCCGGAGUCCCAGCCAGAGCCACCCAAACCCACACUCCCACCCCCACCACCAGCCGCCGUCCCACCCCUCCGGAGAAAGUCAUCCGCCAAUUACCGAGCCUAUGCCAUUGAGCCGCACAUUAAGAGAAAACCCAAGAUAACUGCCUCUCGCAAACUGCAGCUCAAGACACUUAUGCUCCAGGUGGCAAAGCAGGAUCUGGAGCAGGAGGAGGGGGAGCGGGCCCAGGAGAAGGAGCGGUUCCUCUCUGAGCAUUGCCCCCCCCUCACCCUGGCUGGGCUGUCCCUGGCAGAGCUGCAGGAGCUGUGCCGGGAGCUGCACGCUCGCGUGGACAGGGUGGAUGAGGAGCGCUAUGACACUGAGGUGCGCGUCAGCAAGAGCAUCAAUGAGAUUGAGGACCUGAACCAAAAGAUCUUUGACCUGCGGGGCAAGUUCAAGCGUCCGGCGUUACGGCGGGUCCGGAUCUCAGCUGAUGCCAUGAUGCAGGCGCUGCUGGGCUCCAAACACAAGGUGUCUCUGGACUUGCGGGCCAACCUCAAGCAGGUCAAGAAGGAUGACACGGAGAAGGAGAACCGGGAGGUGGGAGACUGGCGCAAGAACAUCGAUGCCCUGAGCGGCAUGGAGGGCAGGAAGAAGAAAUUUGAGACCUCUGGGGCAGGGCAGGCCUGAGCUGCACCCAUUAUUGGAACUGGAGAAGCCAAGAGAUUUCCACCCCAUCUCCAGCCAGCUCCUGACACAGAGCGCCCAGGCACUCCAUGCUGGGGCUGGAGCACUGGCAGACCCAGAGAGCUCCUGAUGAGGGUGUAGACACUGCUGUAGACCUCAUGUCCCCUGUUGAGCCCCACCAGCACACCAUCCCUCCUACCCCUGCAACCAGGAACAGCCCUGCCUUCGUAACCACCUUAUUCACAGCUGCCUGCCAAUAAAAACACUUGGAGUCUC
This is an RNA transcript of Alligator mississippiensis (American alligator), 1169 nucleotides long. It is a transcript of the gene named troponin I3, cardiac type, with no coding region annotated. NCBI's taxonomy places the organism in Eukaryota, Metazoa, Chordata, Crocodylia, Alligatoridae. The transcript has 11 exons. The record is from RefSeq and is a predicted model, not a curated record.